RNAcentral lists this long non-coding RNA (978 nucleotides) under Malus domestica (apple). Its description in RNAcentral is "long non-coding RNA (MDOM_LNC010988)". The record is from RNAcentral. Lineage: Eukaryota; Viridiplantae; Streptophyta; Magnoliopsida; Rosales; Rosaceae.
AAAAAAAAAAAAAAAAAGACUUAAAAUUCAGAUCCAUCAAACAAAUAACUAAAAGUACAACAUCCCCCGUACUGCCACUUCUCUAAACACACAAGAACUCAUCAUUUUUCUAACUAAAACGAUGGACGAUGGACGGUUAGAUAAAAACACACCCCUAGUAACUUAAGGUGAAAAGGAAAACACAAAACUCCAUAACCACGCGAGCUUGGCCGACCCCGUCAAGGUCCGUAACGCAGAAUUAUGUGCUCGUAGUAGCUUCCUUUUUCUCUUCCGAAGUACCAACUCCGGCCUUGACAGCAUCCUGCUCUUCGGCGGCCUCAUCUUCUGCCUUUGAGAGAUCUAGAUCUACAAUAAAAGGACGAGGGAACAUUAUUGGUAACCAAGACGGAACAUCCGACUAUUGCUUUAGCAAUCUUUGUGUUAUUUUUCAUCCAACAAACGAACAGAUUAAAGUAAUUUUACAUGCAGCGUUACGCAGGCAAAAAAUCCAAAGCAAGAGCUUAUUCAAGGUAGAAAUAUUUAUAAAACGAACUUUGACCCUAAGAUUGUUGUUGUUGGGACUGUUCACUUUAACGAAAAACCAAAUUUUUACACUAAAAAAUCAAUCCUGAUACUAUUCACUUUACCCUUUAUUUUGUCCUUAUCGUUAAAACUCAAAGUUUCAAGCCCUUUUCAUUAGUUUACAAGGCAUGAACAUCUUCCCAAUGGGAUGGUCCACAUCAAAAACCCACCUUAACUCCUACGAACCCGAAACCUAAGACUGUGUCUAAGUAGAGUCAUCUCCAAUCCCCAUUCGUUUUUUCACGGUCAUCAAACAUUGUGGAACCUUUAAGCCUACAUCGCGGGUUUUUGAAUACUAGACCUAGACUUCCUAAUGAGAUGUUUAUCCUUACUCGGCUUGCCACUAAAGAUUAAGUGCUAAUAGUCUUCUUACCUUCAUCACUAUCAUCAAAGUCACCCAUUCCUCCCAUAUCGUCG